UGACGAGGCACUACGGUGCUGAAGCAACAAAUGCCCUGCUUCCAGGAAAAGCCUCUAAGCAUCAGGUAACAUCAAAUCGUACCCCAAACCGACACAGGUGGUCAGGUAGAGAAUACCAAGGCGCUUGAGAGAACUCGGGUGAAGGAACUAGGCAAAAUGGUGCCGUAACUUCGGGAGAAGGCACGCUGAUAUGUAGGUGAAGUCCCUCGCGGAUGGAGCUGAAAUCAGUCGAAGAUACCAGCUGGCUGCAACUGUUUAUUAAAAACACAGCACUGUGCAAACACGAAAGUGGACGUAUACGGUGUGACGCCUGCCCGGUGCCGGAAGGUUAAUUGAUGGGGUCAGCGCAAGCGAAGCUCUUGAUCGAAGCCCCGGUAAACGGCGGCCGUAACUAUAACGGUCCUAAGGUAGCGAAAUUCCUUGUCGGGUAAGUUCCGACCUGCACGAAUGGCGUAAUGAUGGCCAGGCUGUCUCCACCCGAGACUCAGUGAAAUUGAACUCGCUGUGAAGAUGCAGUGUACCCGCGGCAAGACGGAAAGACCCCGUGAACCUUUACUAUAGCUUGACACUGAACAUUGAGCCUUGAUGUGUAGGAUAGGUGGGAGGCUUUGAAGUGUGGACGCCAGUCUGCAUGGAGCCGACCUUGAAAUACCACCCUUUAAUGUUUGAUGUUCUAACGUGGACCCGUGAUCCGGGUUGCGGACAGUGUCUGGUGGGUAGUUUGACUGGGGCGGUCUCCUCCUAAAGAGUAACGGAGGAGCACGAAGGUUGGCUAAUCCUGGUCGGACAUCAGGAGGUUAGUGCAAUGGCAUAAGCCAGCUUGACUGCGAGCGUGACGGCGCGAGCAGGUGCGAAAGCAGGUCAUAGUGAUCCGGUGGUUCUGAAUGGAAGGGCCAUCGCUCAACGGAUAAAAGGUACUCCGGGGAUAACAGGCUGAUACCGCCCAAGAGUUCAUAUCGACGGCGGUGUUUGGCACCUCGAUGUCGGCUCAUCACAUCCUGGGGCUGAAGUAGGUCCCAAGGGUAUGGCUGUUCGCCAUUUAAAGUGGUACGCGAGCUGGGUUUAGAACGUCGUGAGACAGUUCGGUCCCUAUCUGCCGUGGGCGCUGGAGAACUGAGGGGGGCUGCUCCUAGUACGAGAGGACCGGAGUGGACGCAUCACUGGUGUUCGGGUUGUCAUGCCAAUGGCACUGCCCGGUAGCUAAAUGCGGAAGAGAUAAGUGCUGAAAGCAUCUAAGCACGAAACUUGCCCCGAGAUGAGUUCUCCCUGACCCUUUAAGGGUCCUGAAGGAACGUUGAAGACGACGACGUUGAUAGGCCGGGUGUGUAAGCGCAGCGAUGCGUUGAGCUAACCGGUACUAAUGAACCGUGAGGCUUAACCUUACAACGCCGAAGGUGUUU
RNAcentral lists this ribosomal RNA (1400 nucleotides) under Escherichia coli. RNAcentral describes it as "partial 23S ribosomal RNA". It matches the Rfam family "Bacterial large subunit ribosomal RNA", at positions 1567 to 2925 of the family's 2925-position model. The record is from RNAcentral. Lineage: Bacteria; Pseudomonadati; Pseudomonadota; Gammaproteobacteria; Enterobacterales; Enterobacteriaceae.